RNAcentral lists this ribosomal RNA (438 nucleotides) under uncultured bacterium. Its description in RNAcentral is "bacterial SSU rRNA". It matches the Rfam family "Bacterial small subunit ribosomal RNA", at positions 339 to 794 of the family's 1533-position model. The record is from RNAcentral.
CUACGGGAGGCAGCAGUGGGGAAUAUUGCACAAUGGGCGAAAGCCUGAUGCAGCAACGCCGCGUGAGUGAUGAAGGUCUUCGGAUUGUAAAGCUCUGUCUUUGGGGACGAUAAUGACGGUACCCAAGGAGGAAGCCACGGCUAACUACGUGCCAGCAGCCGCGGUAAUACGUAGGUGGCGAGCGUUGUCCGGAUUUACUGGGCGUAAAGGAUGCGUAGGCGGAUGUUUAAGUCAGAUGUGAAAAUCCCGAGCUUAACUUGGGAACUGCAUUUGAAACUGGAUAUCUAGAGUGCGGGAGAGGAGAAUGGAAUUCCUAGUGUAGCGGUGAAAUGCGUAGAGAUUAGGAAGAACACCAGUGGCGAAGGCGAUUCUCUGGACCGUAACUGACGCUGAGGCAUGAAAGCGUGGGUAGCAAACAGGAUUAGAUACCCCGGUAGC